Molecule: ribosomal RNA, 444 nt
Filed under: uncultured bacterium
Lineage: Bacteria
Description: bacterial SSU rRNA
Rfam family: Bacterial small subunit ribosomal RNA
Source: RNAcentral
GGGGAUCGAAAGNCCUUAUGCUUUUGGAGCGGNCUCGAUGUCUGAUUAGCUAGUUGGUAGGGUAAAGGCUUACCAAGGCGACGAUCAGUAGUUGGUCUGAGAGGACGGCCAGCCACACUGGGACUGAGACACGGCCCAGACUCCUMCGGGAGGCAGCAGUGGGGAAUUUUGGACAAUGGGCGCAAGCCUGAUCCAGCAAUGCCGCGUGAGUGAAGAAGGCCUUCGGGUUGUAAAGCUCUUUCAGUUGAGAAGAAAAAGUCGUGACUAAUAAUCAUGAUUCAUGACGGUAUCAACAGAAGAAGCACCGGCUAACUACGUGCCAGCAGCCGCGGUAAUACGUAGGGUGCAAGCGUUAAUCGGAAUUACUGGGCGUAAAGGGNGCGCAGGCGGUUCUGUAAGUCAGAUGUGAAAUCCCCGGGCUUAACCUGGGAACUGCGUUUGAAA